Long non-coding RNA from Astatotilapia calliptera (eastern happy), 6794 nucleotides. Lineage: Eukaryota; Metazoa; Chordata; Actinopteri; Cichliformes; Cichlidae. The record is from Ensembl.
GAUUUUUUCUAAACACCGGGUCUCUGUGGCUUUUAAACCCCAAAACACGCUGCGCCAAAAACUGGUCCACCCCAAGGAUCAGAGUAACAGAGUAACAUAGUGUACGCUGCUAAGUGCAGGAGGAUUGCCAGGAUUUACAUAUCGGGGAAACCAAACAACCUUUGGCUACAACACAGCAGAGCCACCUCGUCAGGCCAGGACUCUGCAGUCUAUUUACACCUGCAGGCCAGUGACACUCUUUCAAUGAUGAGGAUGUAACAUCCUGGACAGGGAGGAACGCUGGUUUGAAGGCGGAGUCAAGGAGGCCAUUUAUGUGAAAAGGGAAAGACCAUCUCUGAAUUGAGGAGGGGGCCUAAGGGUACAUCUGUCACCAUCUUACAUGCUGUGAUUGCAGCCAUUCCCCAACUCUCUGUGAAUGGUACUCAUGGUUAUUGAUCAGUGGGUUUUGAUCAGUGGUUGUUGAUCAAUGGUCAUGAGAAUCUGCAUGAUUAAGAUUAAGGAACUGACCUCCCAGCCCAUCGUUCCUUCAGUGGGCUGGUUUCAGUCAUUAUGCAAAUGUCCUGUUUAUAAGAUUGAAAGCUGCAGUCAGCUGAGACUGAAGGAGUCACCUGGUGAUGACGAAACGUUUCUCCCACAAAACGCAAAAAUACACAGUGCUCAUCCUUUAAUAAACACACUCUUCACCAACCUUACAAGGCGAGUUGUGUUCAUACAACCUGUAACGUUACUUUGAGUUAGGAGAUAAAGAUAUGAGGUCCAUCUCAGUCCAUACGUCCAUGUGCAAGCACACUUCUCCCACACUACAGAGAGCAGUGGCGCACACUUGUGACAUCAUUAACAUUAACUUAAGUUGUCUUAAAGAGACACCACACAAUUGUGACUGUUACACACAGCAUCUGCCUAACAUGGUGGAGCCAGCAUCGUGCCAGUGAAACUGGGUCACUGACAACGUGACUGCUGAUAGAAGCAGCAGAAUUCAUUGUGAAGUGUGCAGCGCUUUAUUCUCUGCUCAGACCUAACCAAACGAUGCUCAGACAGAAAAUGAUCAGACAGCACUAACAGUGCAAACAGAUUAGGACCCAAAUCAUACUGAAAAAGCAACCCAACAGUUUCUCAAGGUAAAAGAAACGGGACGUUCUUCCAUGCCCAAGUCUCACAUGUCUCAACCCAGCAAGCACCAAAUCACAACAGCCACCUCAAGGAGCUUUAGGUGUUAAGGUAAAGACCCUGAAACAUAGAGAGCAAGCCCCAACAGUCAGCCGACGAGGAGAACAGGGCUCAGGGACUGACAGCCAUCUGUUGCAACCAGCAGGGGGUAGGAGAGAGAGCCAGAGCUCAGGACACACUGUGGAAGAGGGCCACAGUUUCAUAAUAACUGAGGAUUAAAUCCAAAGUGGUAUGUCAGCACAUAGAGGGAAAUCUAUUUUUGUCUUGAGUAAAGAUCAAGCUGAGCAACUCAAAGGAAACAACAUUUGCUGAUGUCCAUUGUUUCUAGACUUCAAGCAGACAUUGGUUGAAAAAUGCAGUCCUUCGUUUUUUAAAGUGUCUUAAAAUUGAUGUUAAGACAUAAAUUUAUGUUAUCCCAGAAAUUUUGAACCUCUGAAAAUGGGGCUUUGCAAAACAAGUCAUUGAAUUUUUCUGUUAAACCCUUUAAAUUAGAGCUGACUGUCAGCUCAUCAAUCACAGUUUUUUUUAAUUUACAAUCCACUGUGGAGUUGUCCAAAGGCAAAACUUUGUCCCAAACAUUAUGAAGGGCGCUUUAGUAAUUUACUAAUUUUGGGUAACAUCAUCUUUAACCAGCAUUACCUUGGGAAUGUCAACAGCAGGAAUGGACAGGUCAAAUAUGGACAGGUUUAUGCUUUUUCUUUUAAACACAUGUUACUGAGUUCAUAUGUAACUGCUGCAAUACCAUUAUUAACUUCUUAAAAGGUAAGACAAAUUUAGGCUUGAGUACUUUCUUACAACAAUGCCAAACAAAAAUGCUAAUGUUUCAAAAAUACUUCGCUGAUGACUGUGCAGCUUACUGGCUUUGUAUAAAACAGAGACGAACGUUAUGAAAGUAAAAGUUUGCGUUAACAAAUGAUUUAGUAUAUUGUUACAUUUUUAAUGUCAAGUAGCCUUCAAGGAUCUUUUUCAAAGAUAAUAUUAGUUUGUGUACAGCUAGACCUCGCCCAAUAAAAUCACAACACUUUAAACACAAACUCGACUGCUUUUUAAUGCAAAAUGUUUCGAUCCACAAUGAGAAACAGCUUUAGUGUUACUUUUAUAGGCUAUUUAAGUGUGCUCUGCUGGAUGUGUUUGCAUGAUUGUCCUGAAAAGUGUUCUAAGGAAAAAUCUUUGGCUUUUGAAAUCAGCGCCAUCAUCAUAUAAAGUUUUUUUGGUCUAUUUUGUCUAAAAUGUUACUUUACCACCAAAUUCCAGCACAAAUGUGUUAAAUUUGGUAGAGUCUCACGUGUCUGUACUGCAUUAGUGCUUUAUCUACAGCAUAUUUCAUUUUUACGAGGAAGCUUUAUGGCCUAACUGUUCUUUAUAAUUCUUCACCGAACAGAAUUGAAAUUACAUCUGCAUCUCCACGUAUUAUAUCUCUAUUUCUCUAUUUAAAUGACCAAAUACAGAGAGAGAGUGAGACCAGGUAAAUAGUGUGUAUCUUUUUAGAAAUACACUUUCAUUUGUAAAAACUAGUUUCCUUGCCUUGGCAAGCUUUAAUCUUGACUCUGACUACCUUCUUCUUCUGGUAUGCAAAUAUACGUGAAAGGAUGACUGUGUCUGUUUUAUAAGAAAGAUAAAUCUUUAGUUUUACACAGAAUUCAUCCUGCUUUUUGAGUCGUCACAUCCUCAGCACAUUUCUAACAAGACAGGCAGUCAGCUUUUCACUCGAUAGGUUGUAACCAAAGAAAGUAUAUCCUCAGCUAAGCCAGUGUGCCAGAAGAGAGUAACGUUGACAGUAAGCAAUGCUUUCAGCCUGGCCAACCCUAUAAACGUCUGCCUCUUCUGCUGCUUCUCAGUCUUACUCAUAAACAAGACACUUUGUUGUUUACUGGUGAACAAAAUACUUUGUUACAAUGUGACUGCUGACUGCCGGUUAAUCCCGUAUUCCAUGUUUCCUCCACUUUUAAAUCAAAAUAACUGAAAUUUGUUUCCCAGCUGUGACUCAACCAACCACUAGUUUUCAUAAUGUACCAUAACUUUCUACUGCUGUUGUGUAAUGAGAAGUCAGUUUGUUAGGUUGAUUUUUGUAAUCACAAGAAGUCAUUGCAGGGAACAACUGAAAAAAACAACAAUAAGUUCAUUUUAUAGUCUUAAAUACACACUGAGACAUUCAAAUCUUUGAAGCAUAUAUUAAAUAAGUUGCUACGUAUUUUAAUCACAAUCAAAUAAACAUUUUGAUAAGCUUAAAUGUAUCUUUUAAUAGCAACUAGGGCUAGCUUAGGCAAAGAAAUGGAUCAAGCUUAGUUACUUUUUGUCAUAAAAAAAAAUAUAUGAACAAGGUGUUUGGCUCUGAAAAAAAUCGUGUAUUUAUUGGAAAGCGACUGCAGAGAAUGUGACCACAUUCAUUAGCAAACUGUGCAGCUCUGCAACAUGUUCCUCUCUACGUUGGUUAACAAGUUUAUUAGGCCUCCUGUCAGAAUAAGAACAAAACACAAAUAUUUAUAAAUCUGUCGAAACCUGUUUACAAAUAAAUUCAUAUUGUUAUUUAUAAUAAUAAACUAAAUUAACAUUUUUACACCCAAAACUAAUCCAGCACAUUGGACUUUCCUAAAAAGUCUAAAAUGAAUGAAUCAUAAUAUUCAACCAGUAAAACUUCUGUUCAGAAAUGCAAGAAAAAAAAUGUAAUUUGGCAACUAAAUAAAAAAGUGCAUAACAAUUAUUACCAUCAUUAUUAUUAUUUUGUUUUUUGUGUUAACCAGUAAAUUUGAAAACCCAUGGGUAACAACAUUAAUUAUAUUUUAACACUUAACAUAUAAUUCUGAUUACACAGCUUGUGCAUACUGGUGGACUGACCAGCACAGAAACACAGAAAACAAAUAAUUACCAAGACUUUGGUAUAAACGUGACAUUUGGUGGUCUAACAAAUUUGUUAUACACUCAAACUCACAAUUUGUUUAAAUGCAAACGUUUGGGGUGUUAAUUCACUGAUACUUUUACAGAUUUGGGCAUAACAUUAACAUGUUUUCCAUUUUGUGGUCCUCACACAUAACUUCAAACUGCACAUGUAGGAAAUGCAAAUGAAGCAGUUUUAUCAAUGCAAACACAAAAAGCUGCGUAGUGUUAGGCAAAGUUUGCAGAUCUCCACCUAAAACUUAUUUCCUUAUUAACAAACUAAAUCGACAUAAUCACAACAAUUUGGUUGCUGUUGAGAAAACAGCCAUGAUUCUUCGGUAUGCUAGCUUCUGUAAAAGACAGUGGUUGCACAGUCAAUACACACGAUUUUGUAUUUAGUUAUUUGCAGGAUCCUGUGCUUGGAGGUUAGAAAACUACAGAAACAUACACACAACCUAAGGGAUUUUCAUUGUCCAUGUUCCAGUGGUUCAUUGCUACUUUUGGACAAUUAGAUAUUUAAAAAGCCGUUUGUCAGUUUAAGAAUUACGACACUUUACAGCUGACACUGGCACAAAUCACCAGCAAGCACAAAUCAAAUGACAUAUUUAAUUGUUCGGACAAUAGGAACAAAAUAUUUUAAUAUCAAUUCAGUCAGCUUAAGAUUGGCUUCAGCACCUGUGCUGCUUUCAAGCCUGAGGAUAUGAAUUGGGGACAGUAUAUUAAACGACUAAGUCAUAGAUCAGACAGGCUUCCAUCGUUUUCAUGCCUUUUCUUUGCUUAGACUCAUUUACGCAGUAAAUACCACACAAAAAGAAUAUGUUCAGGCGAUUUCGUGCUCAUGACUGAGCCGUGUGUGCAACAGGAAAGCUGGAAAAAGUGCCAAAUUUCAUGCUGAACUGGUUAUCUGAAUGAAUUUAUGAAAGAGCGGCAAUUUUUGUUGUUGUUGUUGUUGUUGUUUUCAAUGCAAGACUUGUUUGAAAAUUCAUUUAAACUUUGCCUGGUUUGUUAAAUAACCUAUAAUAACCUAUUUAAUUUGAGGUCAGUUAUAUCACUUUGUCUUAAAGAUGUGAGGAUUGUUUACUUAGUAUACAAGUAAAUAAACAAAGACAAAGGCAUUAUAGGGCAAAGUAUUAUAUUAAUGUAUGUUUUAUGAAUUGCUGUAUAUGCCAUUAAGUUAGUGGGUAAGCAACAUGCACUUUAAUUGUCUUUGGCAAUAAUAGCUAAGCUCCCAUCAUAUGUAAAGCAGUCUCAACCUCACGUUCUUGUCACACAUCUCAAUGUGCAAAAACAAUGAUGCAGCGUCAUAAUGUAAAACGUCAAAACUCUGUCAGUCUGUUCCUUCGAACGUGAACCACGUCACAGGAGACAUGUAGAGCAGUUACACAUGAAAAUGAAAUCAUAUAUUUUAUUCUCUAAACAGACUAACAGAUUAACAGAACAAACAUUGUUUAACGUGUGCUGAAACUAUGAUGCAGGUUUGGGUUUAUUAUAAAACCAGGAGAUAACAAAAUAUACUCGUACAUUUAGUGUUGUAGCUACUUUAUGUGUGUGUGAUUCCAUUUUGUGAAACCCAAUAAGUUUUCAUUUCAGAGGAAAAUAUUAUUCUUUUUACUCCCGUACAUUAACAGCUGUGUUGUCAUUAGAAACCUUGAAAACUAAUAAUGUUACAUGCAAAAUAGAAAUAAGAUACAUUUUUAAGAAGUUAGAUUAGCAAUUGUGAUGCAAAAAUGUGUAGUAUUCAAAAAACCUUUUCUUUUCAUGUGUUCAGUGAUGCAAAUCUUGACUAUAUGUACUUUUCAGCCUUCCCUGUGCUUCAUUUAUAUUGCUUGCUUAAACAUGUCUUGAAUGAUAAGGCCUGGGACCUCUAGAAUGACAUGAACAAACCUUUCUCAUUUGUUGUAUUUUAAGUAAAGGCAAGUAACGAGUCUGUGUUUUCUUCGACAUUAUUUUUCUCUUUCUGUUUAAGAUGUUUUUAAAUACUCUGAGGAUUAGCGAAUAGCUGAUAUCUGUUAAGACAUAGUUCCACAUUUGAAGGAGUCGUGUUAUUUCCUGUCUUUAGAGAGUGAGGUGACAGGAGCUUAAAUUAAAACACAAUUUAGCUGGCUUUAGUUUAAGGCUACAAACAUCAAGCACAUCUAUAAACGGAAAAGCUUUCUGAAGGUCAUUUGCUGCUUUUUGUUUGUGUUUUCUAAUUUUCAGUCUUAUAAGCAGCUUGUUACAAAAACACAUAUUUUCCCUUCUUUAGUCAAAUCUACAAAAAAUACCAAAGAUAAAAAGGUUUGAUGGAUGUAACAUUGUAUUUUUAUACCUGCAAAGGGAUUUCUACAGCGCUGGACAAAAACUUCUUAGAACCUAACUGGUGAUGUGUUUAUUAAAGUAUGCUGGCAUGUAUACCAACACACAGAGGGUGGAUCUGAGUAGAUACACUAACCCAGAGCUAUGUACAACAAUGCUAUUUAUACAGGACACAAAAAGCAAGAGUGGAGCAACUUAGAAGAGUGGAAGGGACGCUAAUUAUAUGCAAAGAACAAAAGGUAAGUGAAAAAGUGUCCGGGCAAUGACCAUGAGGUAUGCUGAGUGAGGUGGGAUAGAAGUCCUCUCAUUACAUCUGAGAGAGAGACAACAGGACUUAAUAUCCAGGUAAUAGAGCGCUAUAACAUCUAUCUGCAUGUGAUCAUGACAACAGUUAAUCCUGCUCAAAUCUAAUCACAGUAUUGUUAAGAAAUAAAGAAUAAAUAUGAUGAGUAAGAAAA